GUAAGACCAAGGAAAGUAAAUAUAGUUUAGAAUUACAAUUAAAAAAAUAUGGUAUUGGCUAAAGAACAGACCUUUCUCAUAUAUCACUCUAUAUUCUGUGUGGUUAUCACACAUGAGCAGUUAGUAUUAGCCUCCUGCUCAAGUCUCCAGUGAUUUUCUAUUGUCUAUAGUAGUGAUGUCCAACAUAACUCUAUAAUGAUGGAAGUAUUUUAUAAUCUAUAUCGUCCAACAGGGUAGCCACGAGCUGCAUGUGGCUAAUGUGCACUUGAAACAUAACUCAUGAAAUUGUGGUACUGAAUUUUUUAUUUUGCUUAAUUAAUUAAUUUUAUUUAUUUAUUUAUUUAUUCAUUCAUUCAUUUAUUUAGGACAGAGUUGCACUCUGUUGGCCAGUGUGGAGUGUAGUGGUGCAGUCACUACUCACUGUGGUCUUAACCUCCCGGAUUCAAGCCAUCCUCCCACCUCAGACUCUCUUGCUCUGUUGCUCAGACUGGAGUACAGUGUUGUGAUCAUAGCUCACUGCAGCCUCAAUCUCCCAGGCUCCCAAUCCUUCCACCUCAGCCUCCUGAGUAGCUGGGAAAACAGAUCCAGAGAUAUCUGAGUCUAUUUGCCUGAAAUAACAAGGAAUCUUCAGUGAGUUAACUCAAUAUAACAGGUAAGAGAAGUCAGGAAGACUAGGUUUAUUCAAUAACUUUUCUGAUAUCUAAAGGACAAUAAAUCUGAAUAUAACAUCUUUCACUUGUUGUGUACAUUAGCUCCCAACUGCAUGGUUAGGUCCUGAAAUUGGC
Molecule: long non-coding RNA, 785 nt
Filed under: Callithrix jacchus (white-tufted-ear marmoset)
Lineage: Eukaryota; Metazoa; Chordata; Mammalia; Primates; Cebidae
Description: lncRNA (ENSCJAG00000087245.1)
Source: RNAcentral